UACGUAGGGUGCGAGCGUUAAUCGGAAUUACUGGGCGUAAAGCGUGCGUAGGCGGUUCGUUAAGUUCGUUGUGAAAGCCCCGGGCUCAACCUGGGAAUGGCAAUGGAAACUGGCGGACUGGAGUAUGGCAGAGGGGGGUGGAAUUCCGCGUGUAGCAGUGAAAUGCGUAGAGAUGCGGAGGAACACCGAUGGCGAAGGCAGCCCCCUGGGCCAAUACUGACGCUCAGGCACGAAAGCGUGGGGAGCAAACAGG
Molecule: ribosomal RNA, 253 nt
Filed under: uncultured bacterium
Lineage: Bacteria
Description: partial 16S ribosomal RNA
Rfam family: Bacterial small subunit ribosomal RNA
Source: RNAcentral